AUUGAACGCUGGCGGCAUGCUUUACACAUGCAAGUCGAACGGUAACAGGUUAAGCUGACGAGUGGCGAACGGGUGAGUAAUGCAUCGGAACGUGCCCGGUCGUGGGGGAUAACGCAGCGAAAGCUGCGCUAAUACCGCAUACGAUCUAAGGAUGAAAGCGGGGGACCGUAAGGCCUCGCGCGAUCGGAGCGGCCGAUGUCAGAUUAGGUAGUUGGUGGGGAAAAGGCUCACCAAGCCAACGAUCUGUAGCUGGUCUGAGAGGACGACCAGCCACACUGGGACUGAGACACGGCCCAGACUCCUACGGGAGGCAGCAGUGGGGAAUUUUGGACAAUGGGCGAAAGCCUGAUCCAGCAAUGCCGCGUGCAGGAAGAAGGCCUUCGGGUUGUAAACUGCUUUUGUACGGAGCGAAAAGGUCUCCUCUAAUACAGGGGGCUCAUGACGGUACCGUAAGAAUAAGCACCGGCUAACUACGUGCCAGCCGCCGCAGUAA
This 493-nucleotide ribosomal RNA is filed under the name uncultured bacterium. RNAcentral describes it as "partial 16S ribosomal RNA". It matches the Rfam family "Bacterial small subunit ribosomal RNA", at positions 29 to 523 of the family's 1533-position model. The record is from RNAcentral.